AUUGAACGCUGGCGGCAGGCCUAACACAUGCAAGUCGAGCGGAUGAAGGGAGCUUGCUCCUGGAUUCAGCGGCGGACGGGUGAGUAAUGCCUAGGAAUCUGCCUGGUAGUGGGGGAUAACGUCCGGAAACGGGCGCUAAUACCGCAUACGUCCUGAGGGAGAAGGUGGGGGAUCUUCGGACCUCACGCUAUCAGAUGAGCCUAGGUCGGAUUGGCUAGUUGGUGGGGUAAAGGCCUACCAAGGCGACGAUCCGUAACUGGUCUGAGAGGAUGAUCAGUCACACUGGAACUGAGACACGGUCCAGACUCCUACGGGAGGCAGCAGUGGGGAAUAUUGGACAAUGGGCGAAAGCCUGAUCCAGCCAUGCCGCGUGUGUGAAGAAGGUCUUCGGAUUGUAAAGCACUUUAAGUUGGGAGGAAGGGCAGUAAGUUAAUACCUUGCUGUUUUGACGUUACCAACAGAAUAAGCACCGGCUAACUUCGUG
This 484-nucleotide ribosomal RNA is filed under the name uncultured bacterium. RNAcentral's name for it is "partial 16S ribosomal RNA". It matches the Rfam family "Bacterial small subunit ribosomal RNA", at positions 30 to 507 of the family's 1533-position model. The record is from RNAcentral.